UACGUAGGGUGCGAGCGUUGUCCGGAAUUAUUGGGCGUAAAGAGCUCGUAGGCGGUGUGUCACGUCGGCCGUGAAAACCUGCAGCUUAACUGUGGGCGUGCGGUCGAUACGGGCAUCACUGGAGUUCGGCAGGGGAGACUGGAAUUCCUGGUGUAGCGGUGAAAUGCGCAGAUAUCAGGAGGAACACCGAUGGCGAAGGCAGGUCUCUGGGCCAUAACUGACGCUGAGAAGCGAAAGCAUGGGGAGCGAACAGG
This 254-nucleotide ribosomal RNA is filed under the name uncultured bacterium. Its description in RNAcentral is "partial 16S ribosomal RNA". It matches the Rfam family "Bacterial small subunit ribosomal RNA", at positions 524 to 776 of the family's 1533-position model. The record is from RNAcentral.